GACGAACGCUGGCGGCGUGCUUAACACAUGCAAGUCGAACGGAAAGGCCCUGCUUUUGUGGGGUGCUCGAGUGGCGAACGGGUGAGUAACACGUGAGUAACCUGCCCUUGACUUUGGGAUAACUUCAGGAAACUGGGGCUAAUACCGGAUAGGAGCUCCUGCUGCAUGGUGGUGGUUGGAAAGUUUCGGCGGUUGGGGAUGGACUCGCGGCUUAUCAGCUUGUUGGUUGGGUAGUUGCUUACCAAGGCUUUGACGGGUAGCCGGGCUGAGAGGGUGACCGGCCACAUUGGGACUGAGAUAAGGCCCAGACUCCUACGGGAGGCAGCAGUGGGGAAUAUUGCACAAUGGGCGGAAGCCUGAUGCAGCAACGCCGCGUGCGGGAUGACGGCCUUCGGGUUGUAAACCGCUUUCGCCUGUGACGAAGCGGGAGUGACGGUAAUGGGUAAAGAAGCACCGGCUAACUACGUG
Molecule: ribosomal RNA, 468 nt
Filed under: uncultured bacterium
Lineage: Bacteria
Description: partial 16S ribosomal RNA
Rfam family: Bacterial small subunit ribosomal RNA
Source: RNAcentral